RNAcentral lists this ribosomal RNA (300 nucleotides) under Desmocerus californicus dimorphus. Its description in RNAcentral is "partial small subunit ribosomal RNA". The record is from RNAcentral. Lineage: Eukaryota; Metazoa; Arthropoda; Insecta; Coleoptera; Cerambycidae.
GGCGGUAUUUUAGUCUAUUCAGAGGAAUCUGUCCUAUAAUUGAUAAUCCACGAUUUAAUUUACUUUUAGAAAAAAUUUAUAUAUCGUCGUAGUUUGAAUAUUUUAAAAGAAUUUUAAUGUUCAAAAUUUUUUUUUAUAAAAUUAAAUCAGAUCAAGGUGUAGUUUAUAUAAAAGAAGAGAUGGAUUACAUUAAAUUUAUUUAAAGAUUAAUUUUUGUAAAAUUUUAUGAAUAUGGAUUUGAUAGUAAUUUUUUUAAAAUUUUAAAAAUGAUUUAAGCUCUAAAAUAUGUACACAUCGCCC